GACGAACGCUGGCGGCGUGCUUAACACAUGCAAGUCGAACGGAAAGGCCCUGCUUUUGUGGGGUGCUCGAGUGGCGAACGGGUGAGUAACACGUGAGUAACCUGCCCUUGACUUUGGGAUAACUUCAGGAAACUGGGGCUAAUACCGGAUAGGAGCUCCUGCUGCAUGGUGGGGGUUGGAAAGUUUCGGCGGUUGGGGAUGGACUCGCGGCUUAUCAGCUUGUUGGUGGGGUAGUGGCUUACCAAGGCUUUGACGGGUAGCCGGCCUGAGAGGGUGACCGGCCACAUUGGGACUGAGAUACGGCCCAGACUCCUACGGGAGGCAGCAGUGGGGAAUAUUGCACAAUGGGCGGAAGCCUGAUGCAGCAACGCCGCGUGCGGGAUGACGGCCUUCGGGUUGUAAACCGCUUUCGCCUGUGACGAAGCGUGAGUGACGGUAAUGGGUAAAGAAGCACCGGCUAACUACGUGCCAGCAGCCGCGGUGAUACGUAGGGUGCGAGCGUUGUCCGGAUUUAUUGGGCGUAAAGGGCUCGUAGGUGGUUGAUCGCGUCGGAAGUGUAAUCUUGGGGCUUAACCCUGAGCGUGCUUUCGAUACGGGUUGACUUGAGGAAGGUAGGGAAGAAUGGAGUUCCUGGUGGAGCGGUGGAAUGCGCAGAUAUCAGGAGGAACACCAGUGGCGAAGGCGGUUCUCUGGGCCUUUCCUGACGCUGAGGAGCGAAAGCGUGGGGAGCGAACAGGCUUAGAUACCCUGGUAGUCCACGCUGUAAACGGUGGGUACUAGGUGUGGGGUCCAUUCCACGGGUUCCGUGCCGUAGCUAACGCUUUAAGUACCCCGCCUGGGGAGUACGGCCGCAAGGCUAAAACUCAAAGGAAUUGACGGGGCCCCGCACAAGCGGCGGAGCAUGCGGAUUAAUUCGAUGCAACGCGUAGAGCCUUACCUGGGUUUGACAUGGAUCGGGAGUGCUCAGAGAUGGGUGUGCCUCUUUUGGGGUCGGUUCACAGGUGGUGCAUGGCUGUCGUCAGCUCGUGUCGUGAGAUGUUGGGUUAAGUCCCGCAACGAGCGCAACCCUUGUUCACUGUUGCCAGCACGUUAUGGUGGGGACUCAGUGGAGACCGCCGGGGUCAACUCGGAGGAAGGUGGGGAUGACGUCAAGUCAUCAUGCCCCUUAUGUCCAGGGCUUCACGCAUGCUACAAUGGCUGGUACAGAGAGUGGCGAGCCUGUGAGGGUGAGCGAAUCUCGGAAAGCCGGUCUCAGUUCGGAUUGGGGUCUGCAACUCGACCUCAUGAAGUCGGAGUCGCUAGUAAUCGCAGAUCAGCAACGCUGCGGUGAAUACGUUCCCGGGGCU
Molecule: ribosomal RNA, 1346 nt
Filed under: uncultured bacterium
Lineage: Bacteria
Description: partial 16S ribosomal RNA
Rfam family: Bacterial small subunit ribosomal RNA
Source: RNAcentral